RNAcentral lists this ribosomal RNA (210 nucleotides) under uncultured Russula. RNAcentral describes it as "partial 28S ribosomal RNA". It matches the Rfam family "Eukaryotic large subunit ribosomal RNA", at positions 1 to 207 of the family's 3401-position model. Lineage: Eukaryota; Fungi; Basidiomycota; Agaricomycetes; Russulales; Russulaceae. The record is from RNAcentral.
UUGACCUCAAAUCGGGUGAGACUACCCGCUGAACUUAAGCAUAUCAAUAAGCGGAGGAAAAGAAACUAACAAGGAUUCCCCUAGUAACUGCGAGUGAAGCGGGAAAAGCUCAAAUUUAAAAUCUGGUGGUCUUUGGCCAUUCGAGUUGUAAUUUAGAGAAGCGUCUUCCGCGCUGGACCGUGCACAAGUCUCCUGGAAUGGAGCGUCAUA